Long non-coding RNA from Mauremys reevesii (Reeves's turtle), 1090 nucleotides. RefSeq lists it as uncharacterized. The record is from RefSeq and is a predicted model, not a curated record. NCBI's taxonomy places the organism in Eukaryota, Metazoa, Chordata, Testudines, Geoemydidae. The transcript is spliced from 4 exons.
CGGGGUGGCUCAGCGGCGCGGCAGCAAAUCCCAGGGGAGGGGGCGGGGUCUGUGGGGCAGACCCUCCCCGCCCCCCCUCUUAGCUGCCUCAGGGCCUGGGUGGAGGCCGUGGGGAAGCUACAGGCAGGGGCGUGAAAGCAAGAAGUGGAGGACAGGGAUAGGCUCGAAGCAGGAGAGUUGCACGCAAGAGCUGAAGAACAGGAGUGGGCUACAAGCAGAAGACCUGCGUGUUAGGAGUUUCCAGUCCACCUCUGUACUUUAUCACACUGAAAUCUACAGCAUCUCUAGCAUGGAAUUGUAUAUUGAGCGUGGAAUGAGUGCAAAUGGCCAAUGAAUGGGGCAGACUCUGUAAUUCAAGAAUGGAAGCUGAGUUACAAUGGUGCAAAACUGGGUGCACGCAUCUUACAUGUAACAUCCUAAGACGGUCAUCUACUGUCUUUGGCAAAGCAAGAAACCAGGAGGUUCGACAUGAGAUUAUCUACAAGGUGCUUGCUGUUUACAUCAGACCGAGCCCAUUGCAUUCACCAGGUGUCUUCUGGAUUGAAGCUGGAUGAAAAAAAGAGCUUCUCUGGCUACUCAGAAUCGUCAGUGGGGUUUAAGAUGAGCACAAGGCAGGGCUUUGGAUCCAGCCCAGCUGGAAGGCCUGAGGUGCACCAGAAGAGACAGUAUGGGGUGGAGGAAAGUUGGUACUGACACUGCCUGUGCUGCACCCAUGCUGGGCAGAAACAGAAGACAUCAGGAUACCCAGUGGUCAUUGCAGCACCUUUCAUCAGCUCUAAACCAAAAGAGUCUGCAGUCUGGUUUUCCAUGGGCAGUAAUUCUUUCUGUCCUAGAAAUCCCCAUAGCUGUGGGUUAAUUGCAGCCUGAGAUGUUGCAAUUCCAUGCAAAGGUCCAAUAGCUUUAGGAGAAAAUGGCUUCCACUGAAAAAGAAACUUCCAUAAACCCCUCAAUGCCACCUAGCCGGGGGUUACAAGAAUAUCCUGAUCCUGGUAUGUCCAGUCUGGUUCACCAAAGAAUAUCAUGUGCAGUCUUAAAUGAAAACGAGGGCCACGCUUAUAUCAUGGUGCAAUGCAUGUACAGAUACUCGUGA